UACAGAGGUCUCAAGCGUUGUUCGGAUUCAUUGGGCGUAAAGGGUGCGUAGGCGGCGCGGUAAGUCGGGCGUGAAAUUUCGAGGCUUAACUUCGAAACUGCAUUCGAUACUGCCGUGCUCGAGGACUGGAGAGGAGACUGGAAUUUACGGUGUAGCGGUGAAAUGCGUAGAUAUCGUAAGGAAGACCAGUGGCGAAGGCGGGUCUCUGGAUAGUUCCUGACGCUGAGGCACGAAGGCCAGGGGAGCAAACGGG
Molecule: ribosomal RNA, 253 nt
Filed under: uncultured bacterium
Lineage: Bacteria
Description: partial 16S ribosomal RNA
Rfam family: Bacterial small subunit ribosomal RNA
Source: RNAcentral